ACCUGGCUGGCUCAGUUGGUAGAGCAUGAGAUUCUUGAUCUCAAAGUUGUGAGUUCAUGCCCCACAUUGGGUG
RNAcentral lists this transfer RNA (73 nucleotides) under Canis lupus familiaris (dog). It matches the Rfam family "tRNA". Rfam says of the family: Transfer RNA (tRNA) molecules are approximately 80 nucleotides in length. Their secondary structure includes four short double-helical elements and three loops (D, anti-codon, and T loops). Further hydrogen bonds mediate the characteristic L-shaped molecular structure. tRNAs have two regions of fundamental functional importance: the anti-codon, which is responsible for specific mRNA codon recognition, and the 3' end, to which the tRNAs corresponding amino acid is attached (by aminoacyl-tRNA synthetases). tRNAs cope with the degeneracy of the genetic code in two manners: having more than one tRNA (with a specific anti-codon) for a particular amino acid; and 'wobble' base-pairing, i.e. permitting non-standard base-pairing at the 3rd anti-codon position. The record is from Rfam by way of RNAcentral. RNAcentral also lists the same sequence under 1 other name. Lineage: Eukaryota; Metazoa; Chordata; Mammalia; Carnivora; Canidae.